RNAcentral lists this ribosomal RNA (1401 nucleotides) under metagenome. RNAcentral describes it as "bacterial SSU rRNA". It matches the Rfam family "Bacterial small subunit ribosomal RNA". The record is from RNAcentral.
GGCGAACGGGUGAGUAAUGCGUCGGAACGUACCGAGUAAUGGGGGGUAACGCAGCGAAAGUUGUGCUAAUACCGCAUACGCCCUGAGGGGGAAAGUGGGGGAUCGUAAGACCUCACGUUAUUCGAGCGGCCGACGUCUGAUUAGCUAGUUGGUGAGGUAAUGGCUCACCAAGGCGACGAUCAGUAGCGGGUCUGAGAGGAUGAUCCGCCACACUGGGACUGAGACACGGCCCAGACUCCUACGGGAGGCAGCAGUGGGGAAUUUUGGACAAUGGGGGCAACCCUGAUCCAGCCAUUCCGCGUGAGUGAAGAAGGCCUUCGGGUUGUAAAGCUCUUUCAGCAGGAACGAAACGGUAGGGGCUAAUACCCUCUGCUAAUGACGGUACCUGCAGAAGAAGCACCGGCUAACUACGUGCCAGCAGCCGCGGUAAUACGUAGGGUGCGAGCGUUAAUCGGAAUUACUGGGCGUAAAGCGUGCGCAGGCGGAUUGUUAAGCAAGACGUGAAAUCCCCGGGCUUAACCUGGGAAUGGCGUUUUGAACUGGCAGUCUAGAGUGUGUCAGAGGGGGGUGGAAUUCCACGUGUAGCAGUGAAAUGCGUAGAGAUGUGGAGGAACACCAAUGGCGAAGGCAGCCCCCUGGGAUAACACUGACGCUCAUGUACGAAAGCGUGGGUAGCAAACAGGAUUAGAUACCCUGGUAGUCCACGCCCUAAACGAUGUCAACUGGUUGUUGGGGGAGUGAAAUCCCUUAGUAACGAAGCUAACGCGUGAAGUUGACCGCCUGGGGAGUACGGUCGCAAGAUUAAAACUCAAAGGAAUUGACGGGGACCCGCACAAGCGGUGGAUGAUGUGGAUUAAUUCGAUGCAACGCGAAAAACCUUACCUACCCUUGACAUGUCCAGAAUCCUGCAGAGAUGCGGGAGUGCCCGAAAGGGAAUUGGAACACAGGUGCUGCAUGGCUGUCGUCAGCUCGUGUCGUGAGAUGUUGGGUUAAGUCCCGCAACGAGCGCAACCCUUAUCAUUAGUUGCUACGCAAGGGCACUCUAAUGAGACUGCCGGUGACAAACCGGAGGAAGGUGGGGAUGACGUCAAGUCCUCAUGGCCCUUAUGGGUAGGGCUUCACACGUCAUACAAUGGUCGGUACAGAGGGUUGCCAAGCCGCGAGGUGGAGCCAAUCCCAGAAAGCCGAUCGUAGUCCGGAUUGUUCUCUGCAACUCGAGAGCAUGAAGUCGGAAUCGCUAGUAAUCGCGGAUCAGCAUGUCGCGGUGAAUACGUUCCCGGGUCUUGUACACACCGCCCGUCACACCAUGGGAGUGGAAUCUGCCAGAAGUAGGUAGCCUAACCGCAAGGAGGGCGCUUACCACGGUGGGUUUCAUGACUGGGGUGAAGUCGAAACAAGGUA